UAACACGUGGGCAACCCUGCCCUGAAGUGGGGGACGAACAAAUCCGAAAGGGUUGCUAAUACCGCAUGUGAACUUUUCUGGCAUCAUGAAAUGUUCAAAGCCUUGUGCGCUUCAGGAUGGGCCCGCGGCCUAUCAGCUUGUUGGCGGGGUAACGGGCCCACCAAGGCUUCGACGGGUAGCUGGUCUGAGAGGACGAUCAGCCGGAUUGGGACUGAGAUACGGCCCAG
RNAcentral lists this ribosomal RNA (227 nucleotides) under uncultured bacterium. RNAcentral's name for it is "partial 16S ribosomal RNA". It matches the Rfam family "Bacterial small subunit ribosomal RNA", at positions 111 to 334 of the family's 1533-position model. The record is from RNAcentral.